This 252-nucleotide ribosomal RNA is filed under the name uncultured bacterium. RNAcentral's name for it is "partial 16S ribosomal RNA". It matches the Rfam family "Bacterial small subunit ribosomal RNA", at positions 524 to 776 of the family's 1533-position model. The record is from RNAcentral.
UACGGAGGGGGCUAGCGUUGUUCGGAAUACUGGGCGUAAAGGGCUCGUAGGUGGCCAACUAAGUCAGACGUGAAAUCCCUCGGCUUAACCGGGGAACUGCGUCUGAUACUGGAUGGCUUGAGUUUGGGAGAGGGACGCGGAAUUCCAGGUGUAGCGGUGAAAUGCGUAGAUAUCUGGAGGAAUACCGGUGGCGAAGGCGGCAUCCCGGACCGGCAUUGACGCUGAUGAGCGAAAGCUAGGGGAGCAAACAGG